AACGACUAUGUCUAUGAAGCCUCUACUGAUAAACUCACGCACUGCUCAGGACAUGAGAUUUCCUCGACAUUUUUCUAAGUAAACAAAGAAAUAACUAAAUAAAGAUGAUUCUAACGAAUACUCCACGAACAAAAGCGGAGCUCACCAAUAGCACUGGAAGAGAAGGAAAUCCUAACUCGUAGCCUGCUCCCCUGCAAAUACGGUUCUUACGUUGUACCGCAGACCAGCGUAGGUUCCCAAAAGAGAAUGUCAGUAGCAUCCAUUAUACUCAGUGAAUCUCAACAACAGGUGGAGAAACUUUAAUAAUAUGUACAUUGUGAGCAAAUGAUCUAAAUGCAUGUAAAACAUAAAGCUUAUAAGAAUAAUUCUAAAUAAUUGCAUAAUUGCAGUUUAUGAAUAUUCUAAAAGAAAUUCUUUUCUUUUUCUUUCUUGUAAAAAAAAUAUUUCACUUUAUACUUUGGGAGUUCCAACUAUCUUGACUUAAUUCUGUCUUAGUCACCGUGUGAUCGGCAACGGGUUCGAUCCCAACCCGAUCGAAUAGGCCCAAUCCACGAAGUGCCACUCGCUUUAUGGUUCUCAGUGCUUAUGUAUCAUACCUUAGCAUGGCUAAGUAAUUUCUUAGCAAUGAGACCCUCGGCUCAUCACUCAUGUGCUCCCUACAUUGGCACAAGUAGUUACUGGAAGUCAACGCCCUGGUCAGGAUCCUCAGCCUGGACGAUGACCCCUUCUCAGAAUAAAGGAUAGUCCAAAAAAUCUUUUCUUUCUAAAACUUCUUCUUGUGACUUUUCAAGUCUAA
Molecule: long non-coding RNA, 796 nt
Filed under: Nicotiana benthamiana
Lineage: Eukaryota; Viridiplantae; Streptophyta; Magnoliopsida; Solanales; Solanaceae
Description: long non-coding RNA (NBEN_LNC024530)
Source: RNAcentral